Molecule: long non-coding RNA, 722 nt
Organism: Oncorhynchus tshawytscha (Chinook salmon)
Lineage: Eukaryota; Metazoa; Chordata; Actinopteri; Salmoniformes; Salmonidae
Exons: 2
Source: RefSeq, a predicted model, not a curated record
ACAUGUUUAAUCAAUUUUAGAAUAAGGUUGUAACGUAACAAAACGUGGAAAAAGUCAAGGGGUCUGAAUACUUUCCGAAGGCACUGUAUGUGACGAUGCUACAUAGCCUACAAGGAUAGACUGACAUUCAACACAUGUUGCGACCCAUAGAAUAAGUCACCUAGUUUACACACAUUUCGGUCAAUCAAAACAGCGCUACAGUCGGUCUCCAUGUGUGACAAGCGAAGUGGGAGAUUAAUAAUCAAUGCAAAAUAGAAUUGGCUAAAUGAGAUGUAGGCGGCUACAAUGCUCAACCAACAGGUUCUAUUACGACGUGUGGCUCAAUGCGACCUGAGACCAUCGUCAUGUCUGCUCUGGCAGUGCUGAAAAAGAAACGGAGUGAUUUACAGACCCAGCUGAGCCACGAAAUCCAGAGUGACGUCCUCACUAUCAACUGAGACCUGCAGUUUUAGCCAGUCCUACAACAUUGAGACUUGGAGAGCAGAUCCAGUUGCAAAUCAAACUUUUUGGAUGACAACAAACCUGAUGUAAGCAGGAAAAAAGUUUAUUCAAGAGCUCGCCAACUGAAAUAAGCAGUUUGUAUAUCGUCCACCACAUUUUGUCCUUUCUCUUCGUUCUCUGCUAUGUUAAUAUUUGUCCUUUUUGUUGAAGUUGUUUGCGGGAAUAUGUUUUGAAUGGUUUAUUUUGUCUACCGAAAGAAUAAACUCAAAUGUUCAUCCAGA